RNAcentral lists this ribosomal RNA (844 nucleotides) under Menispora gamsii. RNAcentral's name for it is "partial large subunit ribosomal RNA". It matches the Rfam family "Eukaryotic large subunit ribosomal RNA", at positions 65 to 943 of the family's 3401-position model. Lineage: Eukaryota; Fungi; Ascomycota; Sordariomycetes; Chaetosphaeriales; Chaetosphaeriaceae. The record is from RNAcentral.
CCAACAGGGAUUGCCUCAGUAACGGCGAGUGAAGCGGCAACAGCUCAAAUUUGAAAUCUGGCCCUAGGCCCGAGUUGUAAUUUGCAGAGGAUGCUUCCGGUGCGGCGCCGUCCAAGUCCCCUGGAACGGGGUGCCACAGAGGGUGAGAGCCCCGUCGGGUCGGCCGCCAAGCCUAUGUGAAGCUCCUUCGACGAGUCGAGUAGUUUGGGAAUGCUGCUCUAAAUGGGAGGUAGACCCCUUCUAAAGCUAAAUAUUGGCCAGAGACCGAUAGCGCACAAGUAGAGUGAUCGAAAGAUGAAAAGCACUUUGAAAAGAGGGUUAAACAGUACGUGAAAUUGUUGAAAGGGAAGCGCUUGUGACCAGACGUGCGCCGGGUGUUCAGCGGGCGUUCUCGCCCGUCUACUCGCCCUGGCGCAGGCCAGCGUCGGUUCGGGUGGGUGGACAAAGGUACCAGGAACGUGGCUCCCUCGGGAGUGUUAUAGCCUGGUGCGUCAUGCCCCCGUCCGGACCGAGGUUCGCGCUCUGCAAGGACGCUGGCGUAAUGGUCCCCAGCGGCCCGUCUUGAAACACGGACCAAGGAGUCGAGGUUUUGUGCGAGUGUCUGGGUGUCAAACCCGCACGCAUAAUGAAAGUGAACGCAGGUGGGAGCUUCGGCGCACCACCGACCGAUCCUGAAGUUUUCGGAUGGAUUUGAGUAAGAGCAUAGGGCCUCGGACCCGAAAGAUGGUGAACUAUACUUGGAUAGGGUGAAGCCAGAGGAAACUCUGGUGGAGGCUCGCAGCGGUUCUGACGUGCAAAUCGAUCGUCAAAUCUGAGUAUGGGGGCGAAAGACUAAUCGAACCAU